Molecule: small nuclear RNA, 21 nt
Filed under: Arabidopsis thaliana (thale cress)
Lineage: Eukaryota; Viridiplantae; Streptophyta; Magnoliopsida; Brassicales; Brassicaceae
Description: snRNA_13579
Source: RNAcentral
ACCGGAAGCCGGGUUACGGUG